Molecule: long non-coding RNA, 2036 nt
Organism: Zonotrichia leucophrys gambelii
Lineage: Eukaryota; Metazoa; Chordata; Aves; Passeriformes; Passerellidae
Exons: 3
Source: RefSeq, a predicted model, not a curated record
UAGCGGGGGCCGACGCUUCCCUCAGCCGCCGCAGGUCUGAGUCCCAUAAAGGUGCCAGCAACUCUUACCUCUCUCCCCGAGAUCAAGGGAGAGGGCGAGCAGGACAUUUUAACCCGCUGACAUCUUCCCGCGAGCGGAGGAGGGGAGAGAGGGAAAGGGAAGAAGGAAACUGCAUAUUUCUUGUUUGGGGGAAUUAAUGCCUCCACCAUUGCUCUGGGGAAGGGGUUUCACCUGGAGCCCGAGGAGCUCCCGCCCAGCCCGCGGAGGAUGCUCGGGGGUCAGAGGGGGAGAGGGGCUGAGCCGGGCUGGCUCAGCUCCUCGCAGCGGCAGAGGGAGCUCGGCAGAGCUUAAUCGCGAAGAGAGGCAGCAAAAGAGCAGCCCGCAGGAACCGUGGCUGCCGCCUUGCCCCGUGUCUUGGGGCGGGGGUAACCCUCUCCUCCCCGGGCCUGGGACGCGGCAGCCCGGGGGAGGCAACUACGGAAAACUCGCCUUCCUCCCCGUCCCCAGAGGCGUGUGGCGCUGAGCCGAGGUUUGACAUCGCCCGGCUCCCUUUUUCCUGCAACUACGUCCGCAAAUGAAUGCCGCUUCCAGAGUGUAUGUUUUAAUUUGUCACAUCAAGGCAAUAAAAGGGAGCGAUAUAUACUUAAGCCAGUUAACAUUGUAAUAACAGGUUUAAAGGAGCAAUUAAAUGGUAGUGAGUCGCAUGUCUGACUUUCUAUAGGCAUUACCACAUCAAUGGUACCUUUUAGGCUGACUAUAACUUAGCAUGAUUGUCUCAAUUAGUUUAGCUACAUGAUAGUUAUUGUGAACUCUUUGUGAGUAAUCAAUGUUACGCAAGCUUAUGGGAAGGAGGCUUUAAUAGGGGUGAGCCGCAGCUAAAUAACACGGACCUCCUAUUUUAAAGAAACACCUUUCUUUCUCUGUCUCUGCUUCUCGCUUUCUCCCUCUCCUCUUUAUUUCUCUCCUCCAAGCCCCAAGAAAGAAACUGUAAUUUAUAGACUUAUAAAUCUGUUUCCGAGAUCGCUGUAGCUGAACGUAGAUGUACAGGCAAAAAGCAGCUUUGCCGCGGUUGAUCAACGAAAAAGCCCAGCGCGGAUGGCCAGGCACCCCCGCUUCGCCUCUCCUUGGCUUCAGUGGUGCAUGUCGCGGCUGUUCACUGUCACGAUAAAGACGAAUAACCUUGAGGGAUGCUCACCUCACAUGGCGCAUGUGUGCAGAGCUCCUGCGGGCUCCCAGCCCGAGCAGGGAGCGCUGCGGGCACGGACACGCAGAACAGAACCGGGGGUGAAGGCGAGGGGCGGAGGGAGGAACGACUGCAAAGCGGGGUUAAAAACACGAUUUAAUGCGGGGAGAAGGGUCCUGCCCGACCAAAGGGCCGCUUGGUAACUUGUUAAUUCUCCGCUUACAGACUCUCUUGCUAAAUACUGAGCCACGGGUGGUUAAUGCAAAAUAUGGGGGGCUGGAAAUUGUGUGGGAGCUGCUUGAACUGCUUCAAAACAUUAACAAGUAUGUACUGUUUUCUGUCACGGGGAAAAAAAAAAGAGCAAGAGAGCGUGUACCAUUGAAAUUUAAGAUUAAAAAAAUCCAGGGAUAUUUCUGUUGGUGAAGUUAUUCUCAUUAGUCCCAACAAUGUCUCGCCAUUAGGCAAGGCUGGAGUUAGCCUCAGUCGCAAGAUUUCAGAUCUGCAAGGGUUUUUUUUUUUUUUCUUUUUUUUCCCCCCUUUUUUUGCAUGCACAUUACAUUUCUGUCAUGCUUUGCAGAAGAACACGAUAUCCCCAAAGAACCCAAAGAAGAAAAAAAAUACUCUGACAGCAACCAUUAGUUAAGAGUGCAAUGAAUAAACCCCUUGCACAAGAGUAUCAGGACUAAUUAAGAUUCUGUUUAGCAGCCCUGGAUGGAAUGUUAAUGUAGCUUUGACUAACUGGGAAUAAGCAGGGGAAAAAACUGCAUUUUAAGAGGAAUGCUGGGGUGAUAACAUCUCUCACUUCUUCUGUCCAAGGUCUGCCCAAGCCUGUUACAAAGUCAUUAUCUCAAAU